GUGCGUGGUAGGAGAGCGUUCUGUAAGCCUGUGAAGGUGUCUUGUAAAGGAUGCUGGAGGUAUCAGAAGUGCGAAUGCUGACAUGAGUAGCGAUAAAGGGGGUGAAAGGCCCCCUCGCCGUAAGCCCAAGGUUUCCUACGCAACGUUCAUCGGCGUAGGGUGAGUCGGCCCCUAAGGCGAGGCAGAGAUGCGUAGCUGAUGGGAAGCAGGUUAAUAUUCCUGCACCGUCGUAUGAUGCGAUGGGGGGACGGAUCGCGGAAGGUUGUCCGGGUGUUGGAAGUCCCGGUCCCUGCAUUGGAGAAGGCGCUCAGGCAAAUCCGGGCGCGGAAUUCAAGAGUGUGGGGCGAGCGGCCUAGUGCUGCGAAGCAAUUGGAAGUGGUUCCAAGAAAAGCCUCUAAGCUUCAGUCAUACGAGACCGUACCGCAAACCGACACAGGUGGGCGAGAUGAGUAUUCUAAGGCGCUUGAGAGAACUCGGGAGAAGGAACUCGGCAAAUUGGUACCGUAACUUCGGGAUAAGGUACGCCCUGGUAGCUUGACUGGCCUGCGCCAGAAGGGUGAAGGGGUUGCAAUAAAAUGGUGGCUGCGACUGUUUAAUAAAAACACAGCACUCUGCAAACACGAAAGUGGACGUAUAGGGUGUGACGCCUGCCCGGUGCCGGAAGAUUAAAUGAUGGGGUGCAAGCUCUUGAUUGAAGUCCCGGUAAACGGCGGCCGUAACUAUAACGGUCCUAAGGUAGCGAAAUUCCUUGUCGGGUAAGUUCCGACCUGCACGAAUGGCGUAACGAUGGCCACACUGUCUCCUCCCGAGACUCAGCGAAGUUGAAGUGUUUGUGAUGAUGCAAUCUCCCCGCGGCUAGACGGAAAGACCCCAUGAACCUUUACUGUAGCUUUGCAUUGGACUUUGAACCGAUCUGUGUAGGAUAGGUGGGAGGCUUUGAAGCGUGGACGCUAGUUCACGUGGAGCCGUCCUUGAAAUACCACCCUGGUUUGUUUGAGGUUCUAACCUUGGCCCGUGAAUCCGGGUCGGGGACAGUGCAUGGUAGGCAGUUUGACUGGGGCGGUCUCCUCCCAAAGUGUAACGGAGGAGUUCGAAGGUACGCUUGGUACGGUCGGACAUCGUACCUAAAGUGCAAUGGCAAAAGCGUGCUUAACUGCGAGACCGACAAGUCGAGCAGGUGCGAAAGCAGGACAUAGUGAUCCGGUGGUUCUGAAUGGAAGGGCCAUCGCUCAACGGAUAAAAGGUACUCUGGGGAUAACAGGCUGAUACCGCCCAAGAGUUCAUAUCGACGGCGGUGUUUGGCACCUCGAUGUCGGCUCAUCUCAUCCUGGGGCUGUAGCCGGUCCCAAGGGUAUGGCUGUUCGCCAUUUAAAGAGGUACGUGAGCUGGGUUUAAAACGUCGUGAGACAGUUUGGUCCCUAUCUGCCGUGGGCGUUGGAAUCUUGACGGGGGCUGCUCCUAGUACGAGAGGACCGGAGUGGACGUACCGCUGGUGUACCUGUUGUCUCGCCAGAGGCAUCGCAGGGUAGCUAUGUACGGAAGAGAUAACCGCUGAAAGCAUCUAAGCGGGAAACUCGCCUGAAGAUGAGGAUUCCCUGGAGGCUUGACCUCCUUGAAGGGUCGUUCGAGACCAGGACGUUGAUAGGCUGGGUGUGGAAGCGCAGUAAUGCGUUAAGCUAACCAGUACUAAUUGCCCGUAAGGCUUGAUCCU
Molecule: ribosomal RNA, 1711 nt
Filed under: Cupriavidus necator
Lineage: Bacteria; Pseudomonadati; Pseudomonadota; Betaproteobacteria; Burkholderiales; Burkholderiaceae
Description: partial 23S ribosomal RNA
Rfam family: Bacterial large subunit ribosomal RNA
Source: RNAcentral